AGCACUCAGCAGUUUCUGGAAUACAAAUUCACAUGGUACAAGGAUGGUAGAACUACGGAGGGGUAUUGGGUAGGGUGGCCCGAAUGAUUAAAGAGAUUGUAUACGUAUUACAAGUGCCCCCGAUGUUAUCUGGUUGCAUGCCUAACUCAAAACGAAUUUUCUAAAGAUUUCUAGGUAAAUAUCCUUUACUUAUCGUUUCACGUACGAGGGUGCUAGAGCGUCGGGAAACCCGUCGGUCGCAGAGUGCAAUUAUUGGCACUCGAAUAAAGAUUUAAAAAGUAUCUCGUUGUACUUGGGACAUUUUAGAUUACUUCGUAAGUCCUUUUAACGAAAA
Molecule: long non-coding RNA, 334 nt
Organism: Eurytemora carolleeae
Lineage: Eukaryota; Metazoa; Arthropoda; Copepoda; Calanoida; Temoridae
Exons: 3
Source: RefSeq, a predicted model, not a curated record